Molecule: ribosomal RNA, 213 nt
Filed under: uncultured bacterium
Lineage: Bacteria
Description: partial 16S ribosomal RNA
Rfam family: Bacterial small subunit ribosomal RNA
Source: RNAcentral
UGCCCAAGAGACUGGGAUAACACCUGGAAACAGAUGCUAAUACCGGAUAACAACACUAGACGCAUGUCUAGAGUUUAAAAGAUGGUUCUGCUAUCACUCUUGGAUGGACCUGCGGUGCAUUAGCUAGUUGGUAAGGUAACGGCUUACCAAGGCAAUGAUGCAUAGCCGAGUUGAGAGACUGAUCGGCCACAUUGGGACUGAGACACGGCCCAA